GAUGAACGCUGGCGGCGUGCCUAAUACAUGCAAGUCGAGCGAACGGACGAGAAGCUUGCUUUUCUGAUGUUAGCGGCGGACGGGUGAGUAACACGUGGAUAACCUACCUAUAAGACUGGGAUAACUUCGGGAAACCGGAGCUAAUACCGGAUAAUAUUUUGAACCGCAUGGUUCAAAAGUGAAAGACGGUCUUGCUGUCACUUAUAGAUGGAUCCGCGCUGCAUUAGCUAGUUGGUAAGGUAACGGCUUACCAAGGCAACGAUGCAUAGCCGACCUGAGAGGGUGAUCGGCCACACUGGAACUGAGACACGGUCCAGACUCCUACGGGAGGCAGCAGUAGGGAAUCUUCCGCAAUGGGCGAAAGCCUGACGGAGCAACGCCGCGUGAGUGAUGAAGGUCUUCGGAUCGUAAAACUCUGUUAUUAGGGAAGAACAUAUGUGUAAGUAACUGUGCACAUCUUGACGGUACCUAAUCAGAAAGCCACGGCUAACUACGUGCCAGCAGCCGCGGUAAUACGUAGGUGGCAAGCGUUAUCCGGAAUUAUUGGGCGUAAAGCGCGCGUAGGCGGUUUUUUAAGUCUGAUGUGAAAGCCCACGGCUCAACCGUGGAGGGUCAUUGGAAACUGGAAAACUUGAGUGCAGAAGAGGAAAGUGGAAUUCCAUGUGUAGCGGUGAAAUGCGCAGAGAUGUGGAGGAACACCAGUGGCGAAGGCGACUUUCUGGUCUGUAACUGACGCUGAUGUGCGAAAGCGUGGGGAUCAAACAGGAUUAGAUACCCUGGUAGUCCACGCCGUAAACGAUGAGUGCUAAGUGUUAGGGGGUUUCCGCCCCUUAGUGCUGCAGCUAACGCAUUAAGCACUCCGCCUGGGGAGCACGACCGCAAGGUUGAAACUCAAAGGAAUUGACGGGGGCCCGCACAAGCGGUGGAGCAUGUGGUUUAAUUCGAAGCAACGCGAAGAACCUUACCAAAUCUUGACAUCCUUUGACAACUCUAGAGAUAGAGCCUUCCCCUUCGGGGGACAAAGUGACAGGUGGUGCAUGGUUGUCGUCAGCUCGUGUCGUGAGAUGUUGGGUUAAGUCCCGCAACGAGCGCAACCCUUAAGCUUAGUUGCCAUCAUUAAGUUGGGCACUCUAAGUUGACUGCCGGUGACAAACCGGAGGAAGGUGGGGAUGACGUCAAAUCAUCAUGCCCCUUAUGAUUUGGGCUACACACGUGCUACAAUGGACAAUACAAAGGGCAGCGAAACCGCGAGGUCAAGCAAAUCCCAUAAAGUUGUUCUCAGUUCGGAUUGUAGUCUGCAACUCGACUACAUGAAGCUGGAAUCGCUAGUAAUCGUAGAUCAGCAUGCUACGGUGAAUACGUUCCCGGGUCU
Molecule: ribosomal RNA, 1372 nt
Filed under: uncultured bacterium
Lineage: Bacteria
Description: bacterial SSU rRNA
Rfam family: Bacterial small subunit ribosomal RNA
Source: RNAcentral